This is a long non-coding RNA of Siniperca chuatsi (mandarin fish), 1635 nucleotides long. RefSeq lists it as uncharacterized. NCBI's taxonomy places the organism in Eukaryota, Metazoa, Chordata, Actinopteri, Centrarchiformes, Sinipercidae. The transcript has 3 exons. The record is from RefSeq and is a predicted model, not a curated record.
GUAUUCAAAAGUGAAAAAAAGAUAACUGGCUCUACGUGUGUGUGUGCGUUUGUCCCUAAUCUGCAGCUGUUUUGUUGCGGCCCGUUCCCAAAGGAGAGUUAAGGAGAUCUCAGGUGCUCGCGGAUGCUGCUGCUUUCAGGCAUCAAUAAAAUGUGCACAACACCACAAAUGCGAUCACUGAACAGCGCUUUAGUUUGCCAUUAGGUUUGGAUUAGUAUGUAUACUCCUUUAUGGCCAGAGAUGCUGUGUACAGGAAAGAAGAAUAAACAUGCUGGUUACUUUGAUGUUGGAAAUCUCGGCAGGAAUAAAAAAACAGAUACAAACUGAAUGCUUAAAAUGUUUUGGAACAUUCUUAGGUGGACUAAAUCGUCAGUGGGAAACUGCAAAUAAACAAACAAACUAAAUAAAAUGCAGAUAAGAAGACCAGCGCUGCUAUUUCAAACCACAUACUGGUUCUUCUGGACGUGUCGUUGCAUAUUUUACAGCAUAUAUUGAUUUACACACAGACACAAACUGGGAAACUUACUGCCUGUUAAGGAGGAAUUGAAUUCUUCUAGCUAUCCUGUUAUGUCAAUACUCCCACCAGUUUUGUUUGAUCCGAGGCCUGCUGCGGCGGAUUUAUUCUAGUAGCCGAGUCAUAUUUGACACAUGGCCCUUCUCUGUCAUACCACUUAAGAUUUUCAGAUUUAAACUGUGCCAAGAAUAUACAACAUGCCUGCAAUAUUUACAGAUUCCUCCAAGUUCACCUGGAAGCAUUUUUAGCCUGGAAUGGAUUUGGCAUGAGGAUUGGGGGAGCAUUUGGCAGGUGGAAGACGAGAGAAAAGAACCUUUGGGACUGAGGGGGGAUUUGACCUGACAGGGCUGUGACGACAUGGAAAAAAGGGAUUGGAAAACUGAAACAUCUUUAUGUGGAAAGCUCUGUGCCUGUGCCACUGUGGGAUUCCUUGUGACAACAAAUGCAGAUGCAAAUGUUCUACUAUGAUUUGCAUUCACACCAUUGCAUUUAAGUAAAAAAAGCACACUUCGGCACUUACAUCAAGGACAUCCUCCGUCUGAUCUGAGGUCAGAAUGUUGACUGUAACCUUCUGACCGUUGGAGAGGCAGAUGUCUAGAGAGACUUCUUCUGUGGGAAUCUGCUGCGUCUCCUGCACCAACAACACAAAACAUAACAGGCUUUCCUUCAGCUUCAUGGCGGGGGGUCUCCAAGUACAUCCCUUCCACUAAAGGUGCAGAUUAAAUCACAACACCGGGUGGUAACUCAUCUCCUAUACUACACCUGCUGUCCUCACAGUACACUGGGGGGGAACACAGACUCUAAUGAAAGAGGAAAACAGAGGAGGAGAAGCAGAAUGGGUGUGACGUGGCUGCAGACGGAUGAAUCUGUCCAUGAAGAUUAUUGGAUUUACAGCCCUCCUGGCAACACAGGUCACAGCUUGAAUGAUGGUGAAUCAACCUCGCUACCUCGUCUGAAUAAGUCAUUGACUCGCUACCCGUUUGAAAUAGCCUUUUCUGUUUGGCAGCAACAACACACCAUGGGUUUGAGUUCUUACAGUGUCAUCCACUUCAGCUACAAUAUGUUUGCAUUUUUAGUACUGCCGAAAGAGCCUUUUGUCAAAUGUAGUGAGAUGAAUCAUU